GCCCGAGUGGCGGAAUAGGUAGACGCAACGGACUUAAAAUCCGUCGGUCUCGCGACUGUGCCGGUUCAAGUCCGGCCUCGGGUA
RNAcentral lists this transfer RNA (84 nucleotides) under Spiroplasma eriocheiris. It matches the Rfam family "tRNA". From Rfam's summary of the family: Transfer RNA (tRNA) molecules are approximately 80 nucleotides in length. Their secondary structure includes four short double-helical elements and three loops (D, anti-codon, and T loops). Further hydrogen bonds mediate the characteristic L-shaped molecular structure. tRNAs have two regions of fundamental functional importance: the anti-codon, which is responsible for specific mRNA codon recognition, and the 3' end, to which the tRNAs corresponding amino acid is attached (by aminoacyl-tRNA synthetases). tRNAs cope with the degeneracy of the genetic code in two manners: having more than one tRNA (with a specific anti-codon) for a particular amino acid; and 'wobble' base-pairing, i.e. permitting non-standard base-pairing at the 3rd anti-codon position. The record is from Rfam by way of RNAcentral. Lineage: Bacteria; Bacillati; Mycoplasmatota; Mollicutes; Entomoplasmatales; Spiroplasmataceae.